GCAAGUCGAACGGUAACAGGAAGCAGCUUGCUGUUUCGCUGACGAGUGGCGGACGGGUGAGUAAUGUCUGGGAAACUGCCUGAUGGAGGGGGAUAACUACUGGAAACGGUAGCUAAUACCGCAUAACGUCGCAAGACCAAAGAGGGGGACCUUCGGGCCUCUUGCCAUCGGAUGUGCCCAGAUGGGAUUAGCUAGUAGGUGGGGUAACGGCUCACCUAGGCGACGAUCCCUAGCUGGUCUGAGAGGAUGACCAGCCACACUGGAACUGAGACACGGUCCAGACUCCUACGGGAGGCAGCAGUGGGGAAUAUUGCACAAUGGGCGCAAGCCUGAUGCAGCCAUGCCGCGUGUAUGAAGAAGGCCUUCGGGUUGUAAAGUACUUUCAGCGGGGAGGAAGGGAGUAAAGUUAAUACCUUUGCUCAUUGACGUUACCCGCAGAAGAAGCACCGGCUAACUCCGUGCCAGCAGCCGCGGUAAUACGGAGGGUGCAAGCGUUAAUCGGAAUUACUGGGCGUAAAGCGCACGCAGGCGGUUUGUUAAGUCAGAUGUGAAAUCCCCGGGCUCAACCUGGGAACUGCAUCUGAUACUGGCAAGCUUGAGUCUCGUAGAGGGGGUAGAAUUCCGUGUAGCGGUGAAAUGCGUAGAGAUCUGGAGGAAUACCGGUGGCGAAGGCGGCCCCUGGACGAAGACUGACGCUCAGGUGCGAA
This 707-nucleotide ribosomal RNA is filed under the name Shigella flexneri. RNAcentral's name for it is "bacterial SSU rRNA". It matches the Rfam family "Bacterial small subunit ribosomal RNA", at positions 57 to 757 of the family's 1533-position model. The record is from RNAcentral. Lineage: Bacteria; Pseudomonadati; Pseudomonadota; Gammaproteobacteria; Enterobacterales; Enterobacteriaceae.